GCAGUCGUGGCUGAGUGGUUAGGCGAACACAUCCAUAAUGUGUUACGUGGGUUCGAAUCCCACCGACUGCC
Nephila pilipes (giant wood spider) is the source of this 71-nucleotide non-coding RNA. The record is from the annotation of a GenBank genome assembly. Lineage: Eukaryota; Metazoa; Arthropoda; Arachnida; Araneae; Nephilidae.